This is a long non-coding RNA of Mauremys reevesii (Reeves's turtle), 274 nucleotides long. RefSeq lists it as uncharacterized. The transcript has 3 exons. The record is from RefSeq and is a predicted model, not a curated record. Lineage: Eukaryota; Metazoa; Chordata; Testudines; Geoemydidae.
GCAGGUGGAAAACAUUGUGCCAAGGGAUAAUUGGGAUAGUUAUUGGAUAUGACUCCUCACCAGUUUUAAGGCUGUAUCUGAGGGUUGGAUGAGGGGUCCACUUCAGAUGAGUUUAGUGAUUUGACCCACAAGCAUGGGGUUCGGCAUGUGCCUGCUGUCUCCUGUCUCCUGCACUAUGGAGGAUGUGUUGCUGUGUGUAGGGUGCCGGGACACAGAUCCUCUCUGGGAAGAAGAUUUGCAGGGCCAGCUCCUCCAGAUGAAGGCAUGUAUUGGC